GUGCCAGCCGCCGCGGUAAUACGGAGGAUGCGAGCGUUAUCCGGAUUUAUUGGGUUUAAAGGGAGCGUAGGCGGGCUGUUAAGUCAGCGGUAAAAUCGUACGGCUCAACCGUGCCGUGCCGUUGAAACUGGCAGCCUUGAGAGUACAAGAGGCGGAUGGAAUUCAGGGUGUAGCGGUGAAAUGCUUAGAUAUCCUGAAGAACUCCGAUUGCGAAGGCAGUCCGCUGGGGUACUUCUGACGCUGAUGCUCGAAGGUGCGGGAAUCAAACAGGAUUAGAUACCCUGGUAGUCCGCACGGUAAACGAUGAUCACCCGCUGUCGGCGGCAUACUGUCGGCGGCCAAGCGAAAGCGUUAAGUGAUCCACCUGGGGAGUACGCCGGCAACGGUGAAACUCAAAGGAAUUGACGGGGGCCCGCACAAGCGGAGGAACAUGUGGUUUAAUUCGAUGAUACGCGAGGAACCUUACCCGGGCUUGAACUGCAGCUGAACGAAUCAGAGAUGAUGAGGUCCUUCGGGACAGCUGCGGAGGUGCUGCAUGGUUGUCGUCAGCUCGUGCCGUGAGGUGUCGGCUUAAGUGCCAUAACGAGCGCAACCCCUGCCGUCAGUUGCCAUCACUUAAUGGUGGGCACUCUGUCGGGACUGCCAUCGUAAGAUGCGAGGAGGGUGGGGAUGACGUCAAAUCAGCACGGCCCUUACGUCCGGGGCUACACACGUGUUACAAUGGGGGGUACAGAGGGCAGCCACCUGGCGACAGGGCGCGAAUCCGUCAAAUCCCCUCUCAGUUCGGAUCGGAGUCUGCAACCCGACUCCGUGAAGCUGGAUUCGCUAGUAAUCGCGCAUCAGCCAUGGCGCGGUGAAUACGUUCCCGGGCCUUGUACACACCGCCCGU
This 889-nucleotide ribosomal RNA is filed under the name uncultured bacterium. Its description in RNAcentral is "bacterial SSU rRNA". It matches the Rfam family "Bacterial small subunit ribosomal RNA", at positions 505 to 1397 of the family's 1533-position model. The record is from RNAcentral.